Chrysemys picta bellii (western painted turtle) is the source of this 961-nucleotide non-coding RNA. The record is from RefSeq and is a predicted model, not a curated record. NCBI's taxonomy places the organism in Eukaryota, Metazoa, Chordata, Testudines, Emydidae.
AGGAGGAGGAGGGAGCCGGACUCUUAACUCUGAACAAGCCAGCCAGAUGGAUGGACAGACAGCAGCGAAAGGGAGGGGUGGGAUGGAGGAAAGAGCGCAAGAGAGAAAGCAGAUCACGAAAGACUGAGGGUGAAAGGGAAGAUAAACAGGCAGUGACAGAAUGAGAGAGACACACCAUGGGAGAAGAAACAGAAGGAGGGAAAACAGAACGUGAAAGAGAGAAAUGGAGAAAUAGACACACACACACACACACACACACGUCCUUGGUUGCCAAAUCCAGGGCUGUGUCCAGACAGCUACAGAGCAACAGGACCACUCUGUGGAGAGAGGGUUCUCUAAAAGUUAAGCACGGGACAGAGAGGAAAAAACAAGACACACAAAAGGAGAGAAGCUGAGCGAAGGCAAUGCCUCAGCGUGACGGCUGAGCUGAUCGGAAGCCCAGCUUGCCAAAGGAGAUCGUGCUGCUGUAGCCAGCAAUUGAGGGCUCCGAGAUACCCGGUUUUAACUGCACGAGCCACACAAGGAGAGCUUUGUUCGCGGGGAGAUGCGGGGACAGCCCCUGGUUUUAUGAGGCUUUGGGAACCCUGUAAAAGUCUGCAUGGGUUUAUUAAGCUGGCAAAUUACUUGAACAAGAAGAAUACGGCUCGUGCCAACGCCAGGCCAUGUGUCAAAAGGGCACCGAGCCAGGCUGAUCCGGGGGAGACAGGACGAAGCCCUGCCACUUGGAGACGGGGACGCCCAUGAUGAGCGGGCACACGUGCGCCGAGGGAGGCGAGGAGGCGCAGAUGGAAUGCAGGAGGCCCACCCCGAACAGGCUCUCAUGGGGCAAUUUAAUUCACUCCCUGCUGACUCUCUCACUUUGUUGUGCUCUGAAGCACGAAAUUACAAGAUUUACAGGAAAAAAUGACAUGGCCUUCCAAUCUCACACAGGGUCCUCCCCAUGACAGCCCUGCAGCUCUCC